CAGCCGCCGCGGUAAUACGUAGGGUGCGAGCGUUAAUCGGAAUUACUGGGCGUAAAGCGUGCGCAGGCGGUUUUGUAAGACCGAUGUGAAAUCCCCGGGCUCAACCUGGGAACUGCAUUGGUGACUGCGAAACUGGAGUGCGGCAGAGGGAGAUGGAAUUCCGCGUGUAGCAGUGAAAUGCGUAGAUAUGCGGAGGAACACCGAUGGCGAAGGCAGUCUCCUGGGCCUGCACUGACGCUCAUGCACGAAAGCGUGGGGAGCAAACAGGAUUAGAUACCCCCGUAGUCCCUGUCUCUUAUAA
RNAcentral lists this ribosomal RNA (301 nucleotides) under uncultured bacterium. RNAcentral describes it as "partial 16S ribosomal RNA". It matches the Rfam family "Bacterial small subunit ribosomal RNA", at positions 509 to 809 of the family's 1533-position model. The record is from RNAcentral.